RNAcentral lists this ribosomal RNA (645 nucleotides) under uncultured fungus. RNAcentral's name for it is "eukaryotic LSU rRNA". It matches the Rfam family "Eukaryotic large subunit ribosomal RNA", at positions 23 to 673 of the family's 3401-position model. The record is from RNAcentral. Lineage: Eukaryota; Fungi.
ACCCGCUGAAUUAAGCAUAUCAAUAAGCGGAGGAAAAGAAACUAACAAGGAUUCCCCUAGUAACUGCGAGUGAAGCGGGAAAAGCUCAAAUUUAAAAUCUGGUGGUCUUUGGCCAUCCGAGUUGUAAUCUAGAGAAGUGUUAUCCGCGCUGGACCGUGUACAAGUCCCCUGGAAUGGGGCGUCAUAGAGGGUGAGAAUCCCGUCUUUGGCACGGACUACCAGGGCUUUGUGAUGCACUCUCAAAGAGUCGAGUUGUUUGGGAAUGCAGCUCAAAAUGGGUGGUAAAUUCCAUCUAAAGCUAAAUAUUGGCGAGAGACCGAUAGCGAACAAGUACCGUGAGGGAAAGAUGAAAAGAACUUUGGAAAGAGAGUUAAACAGUACGUGAAAUUGUUGAAAGGGAAACGCUUGAAGUCAGUCGCGUCUGCCAGGGAUCAACCUUACUUUUGUGAGGCGUACUUCCUGGUUGAUGGGUCAGCAUCAGUUUUGGUUGCUGGAUAAAGGUCAGAGAAAUGUGGCACCUUCGGGUGUGUUAUAGUCUUUGAUCAGAUACAGUGGCUGGGACUGAGGAACUCAGCGCCGCAAGGCUGUCUUAGGAUGCUGGCAAAAUGGCUUUAAUCGACCCGUCUUGAAACACGGACCAAGGAG